GAUGAAGAACGUAGCGAAAUGCGAUACGUAAUGUGAAAUGCAGAAUUCAGUGAAUCAUCGAGUCUUUGAACGCACAUUGCGCCCCCUGGUAUUCCGGGGGGCAUGCCUGUCCGAGCGUCAUUGCUGCCCUCAAGCACGGCUUGUGUGUUGGGCCUCCGUCCUCCUCCCGGGGGACGGGCCCGAAAGGCAGCGGCGGCACCGCGUCCGGUCCUCGAGCGUAUGGGGCUUCGUCACCCGCUCUUGUAGGCCCGGCCGGCGCUUGCCGACACAUCAAUCUUUUUUCCAGGUUGACCUCGGAUCAGGUAGGGAUACCCGCUGAACUUAAGCAUAUCAAUAAGCGGAGGA
Molecule: unclassified non-coding RNA, 345 nt
Filed under: soil metagenome
Description: partial contains 5.8S ribosomal RNA, internal transcribed spacer 2, and large subunit ribosomal RNA
Rfam family: 5.8S ribosomal RNA (bases 1-120)
Source: RNAcentral